GAUGAAGAACGUAGCGAAAUGCGAUAAGUAAUGUGAAUUGCAGAAUUCAGUGAAUCAUCGAAUCUUUGAACGCACAUUGCGCCCGCCAGUAUUCUGGCGGGCAUGCCUGUUCGAGCGUCAUUACAACCCUCAGGCCCCCGGGCCUGGCGUUGGGGAUCGGCGGAGCCCCCCGUGGGCACACGCCGUCCCCCAAAUGCAGUGGCGGUCCCUCCGCAGCUUCCAUCGCGUAGUAGCUAACACCUCGCGACUGGAGAGCGGCGCGGCCACGCCGUAAAACACCCAACUCUUCUGAAGUUGACCUCGAAUCAGGUAGGAAUACCCGCUGAACUUAAGCAUAUCAAUAAGCGGAGGA
This 352-nucleotide unclassified non-coding RNA is filed under the name soil metagenome. RNAcentral's name for it is "partial contains 5.8S ribosomal RNA, internal transcribed spacer 2, and large subunit ribosomal RNA". The stretch from base 1 to 120 matches the Rfam family "5.8S ribosomal RNA", at positions 35 to 154 of the family's 154-position model. The record is from RNAcentral.